This 510-nucleotide ribosomal RNA is filed under the name uncultured bacterium. Its description in RNAcentral is "partial 16S ribosomal RNA". It matches the Rfam family "Bacterial small subunit ribosomal RNA", at positions 28 to 507 of the family's 1533-position model. The record is from RNAcentral.
GACGAACGCUGGCGGCGUGCUUAACACAUGCAAGUCGAACGAAGAGCGAUGGAAGCUUGCUUCUAUCAAUCUUAGUGGCGAACGGGUGAGUAACGCGUAAUCAACCUGCCCUUCAGAGGGGGACAACAGUUGGAAACGACUGCUAAUACCGCAUACGAUCUAAUCUCGGCAUCGAGGAUAGAUGAAAGGUGGCCUCUACAUGUAAGCUAUCACUGAAGGAGGGGAUUGCGUCUGAUUAGCUAGUUGGAGGGGUAACGGCCCACCAAGGCGAUGAUCAGUAGCCGGUCUGAGAGGAUGAACGGCCACAUUGGGACUGAGACACGGCCCAGACUCCUACGGGAGGCAGCAGUGGGGAAUCUUCCGCAAUGGACGAAAGUCUGACGGAGCAACGCCGCGUGAGUGAUGACGGCCGUCGGGUUGUAAAGCUCUGUUAAUCGGGACGAAAGGCCUUCUUGUGAAUAGUGAGAAGGAUUGACGGUACCGGAAUAGAAAGCCACGGCUAACUACGUG